This 438-nucleotide ribosomal RNA is filed under the name uncultured bacterium. Its description in RNAcentral is "bacterial SSU rRNA". It matches the Rfam family "Bacterial small subunit ribosomal RNA", at positions 29 to 449 of the family's 1533-position model. The record is from RNAcentral.
AUGAACGCUGGCGGCGUGCUUAACACAUGCAAGUCGAGCGAAGCACUAAAGCGGAUUUCUUCGGAUUGAAGGUUUAGUGACUGAGCGGCGGACGGGUGAGUAACGCGUGGGUAACCUGCCUCAUACAGGGGGAUAACAGUUGGAAACGGCUGCUAAUACCGCAUAAGCGCACAGUACCGCAUGGUACGGUGUGAAAAACUCCGGUGGUAUGAGAUGGACCCGCGUCUGAUUAGGUAGUUGGUGGGGUAACGGCCUACCAAGCCGACGAUCAGUAGCCGACCUGAGAGGGUGACCGGCCACAUUGGGACUGAGACACGGCCCAAACUCCUACGGGAGGCAGCAGUGGGGAAUAUUGCACAAUGGGGGAAACCCUGAUGCAGCGACGCCGCGUGAGCGAAGAAGUAUUUCGGUAUGUAAAGCUCUAUCAGCAGGGAAGAA